AUUGAACGCUGGCGGCAGGCCUAACACAUGCAAGUCGAGCGGCAGCGGGAAAGUAGCUUGCUACUUUUGCCGGCGAGCGGCGGACGGGUGAGUAAUGCCUGGGGAUCUGCCCAGUCGAGGGGGAUAACUACUGGCAACGGUAGCUAAUACCGCAUACGCCCUACGGGGGAAAGCAGGGGACCUUCGGGCCUUGCGCGAUUGGAUGAACCCAGGUGGGAUUAGCUAGUUGGGGAGGUAAUGGCUCACCAAGGCGACGAUCCCUAGCUGGUCUGGGAGGAGGAUCAGCCACACUGGAACUGAGACACGGUCCAGACUCCUACGGGAGGCAGCAGUGGGGAAUAUUGCACAAUGGGGGAAACCCUGAUGCAGCCAUGCCGCGUGUGUGAAGAAGGCCUUCGGGUUGUAAAGCACUUUCAGCGAGGAGGAAAGGUUGGUAGCUAAUAACUGCCAGCUGUGACGUUACUCGCAGAAGAAGCACCGGCUAACUCCGUGCCAGCCGCCGCAGUAA
This 508-nucleotide ribosomal RNA is filed under the name uncultured bacterium. RNAcentral describes it as "partial 16S ribosomal RNA". It matches the Rfam family "Bacterial small subunit ribosomal RNA", at positions 29 to 523 of the family's 1533-position model. The record is from RNAcentral.